AUGUUCCUUCCAUUUCUGCUGCUGCUGGCAGCUUCAUCCUAUGUGGGAUGUGCAGUAGAACUCACUCAGGUCACCUCAGUGAUGUUAAAGCCAGGAGAUUCUUUAACCCUCAGCUGUAAAGUAUCCGGCUACUCUGUUACUGAUAACAGCUACGCCACAGCUUGGAUUCGACAACCUGCAGGAAAAACUCUGGAAUGGAUAAACCACAUUUGGGAUGGUGGAACUAUUCAUCAUAAAGAUUCUCUAAAAAGCAAGUUCAGUAUUUCUAAAGAUGGCUCCAGCAGCACGGUGACUCUGAGAGGACAGAAUCUGCAGACAGAAGACACAGCUGUGUAUUGCUGCGCCCGCCGCCCACACACUGAUGCUUCUACUUAG
Non-coding RNA from Ictalurus furcatus (blue catfish), 375 nucleotides. NCBI's taxonomy places the organism in Eukaryota, Metazoa, Chordata, Actinopteri, Siluriformes, Ictaluridae. The record is from the annotation of a RefSeq genome assembly.